RNAcentral lists this transfer RNA (90 nucleotides) under Phycisphaerales bacterium. RNAcentral describes it as "tRNA-Ser". The stretch from base 25 to 90 matches the Rfam family "tRNA". Rfam says of the family: Transfer RNA (tRNA) molecules are approximately 80 nucleotides in length. The record is from RNAcentral. Lineage: Bacteria; Pseudomonadati; Planctomycetota; Phycisphaerae; Phycisphaerales.
GCGUCGUAAGUCUCGGAUUCUACGGGGUUUAUAGAAUGUGUCACCGGUUUCCUAAACCGGGGGUCGCAGGUUCGACUCCUGCCGGGCGCA